RNAcentral lists this long non-coding RNA (1225 nucleotides) under Anas zonorhyncha (Eastern spot-billed duck). RNAcentral describes it as "lncRNA (ENSAZOG00000002571.1)". Lineage: Eukaryota; Metazoa; Chordata; Aves; Anseriformes; Anatidae. The record is from RNAcentral.
CUCCCUCCCUCCCUCAACGGCCGCCUUCCCUCCCUCCUUCCUCCCUUCCCUUCCUUCUCUUCUUCCUCACGGGCAGCCCCGCAGCGCCCAGCCCCUGCCCGCUCCCUUCCCUCCCCGCCUCGGGCCUGCCUCGCCGCCCGCUGGGGCCUGGCUGCGGCCGCCUCCGCGAUCGUGAGUGUCUUUCAGUUGUUAGAGAAAGGCCUGUGGCUGCCCAUGCUGGAAAGCUAACUGUAGUUGAAGUGAAGUGAAAAUAUCUGCUCAGUGUUAUACAACUGGUAAUUAUGAAGUUUGACCUUAAAAUCUGUAUGAUUUAAUACCAGCUGAGUUAAAGUUUGAAAACUAACACAAUUUUGUUUUAGAUUUUUUUUAUAGUCAGGCUGCCCUUGGCAAAAAAAAAAAAAAAAAAAAGGGUAAUUCUUGACCUAAAAAGGUAAUAUGGAAGCUCCCAGCACUUAGUAUUCCAGCAAACUUAUUUUUUAAUAGACAUGAUUGCAUCUUUAUGGAACAAUUAUUACUAAUGCUGGAAUACAACAAUGGUCUCUGUGAAUAAGAGAUCUUAAAAGUUCCAUAAGGCACAGAUAGGUGUGAAAGACACAAUUGACAGAAUCUGUGGAGACUUGACUGAGAAUCUCUGCUAGGUUUUAGUCUCUUGUUCAUGUUAACUGCUGCAUCAUUAACAGCAUUUCAGAAGACAUCAUUUUCUCUAACGCCCAAGGCAAAUAUCUCAAAAACAUCAUUUUCUAGGCUUUCUGUCUCUGAAUUGUAGCCUAAGUGGAAUUAGAAGGUAUGGUUAUUGACACUUGCUGGUGCCUGUAAAGUUCUGUAGUAGCAGCCACAAAAUGUAGAAUCUAGUGAAUUUAUCUGCUGUUUCUGUGGGGCAUGGGGUUGACAGGAAUCCCACUUUUUGGUGGGCUGUGAGAAAGAGCACUAAACUAUUUUCUGGAAAAAGGCAAAAUGCCAAGAAACUUCCCUUCAGAUGGUACUAAAUCUGCCACCUUUCAAAGAGUAAAAAGGUGAGGCUUAAGACAGCAAAAUGCCAAAAAUUGCUGGGUGUUUUUGGUUUCAUUUUAAAAUUGGAUGUCAAUUUUUAAAUGGCUCAGCAAUUCAUACUGAUCAUCUAUAAACUUUAAGCAUUGUUUGAGGAGAUGGAAAAGGGUGGGAACACUGAAUUCAGAGCCUGAGAAGGAAGUUAAUAAAGUGCUUACUGCAUCUAAAUACUAUGUGA